This 355-nucleotide unclassified non-coding RNA is filed under the name soil metagenome. Its description in RNAcentral is "partial contains 5.8S ribosomal RNA, internal transcribed spacer 2, and large subunit ribosomal RNA". The stretch from base 1 to 120 matches the Rfam family "5.8S ribosomal RNA", at positions 35 to 154 of the family's 154-position model. The record is from RNAcentral.
GAUGAAGAACGCAGCGAAAUGCGAUAAGUAAUGUGAAUUGCAGAAUUCAGUGAAUCAUCGAAUCUUUGAACGCACAUUGCGCCCAUUAGUAUUCUAGUGGGCAUGCCUGUUCGAGCGUCAUUAAGUCCACUUAAGCCCUGCUUAGUGUUGGGAGACUGCUCCAGCGGUGCUACCCUGUAGCUACCCUGCAGCUCCUCAAAGACAGCGGCGGAGUUGUGGUAUCCUCUGAGCUUAGUAACUUGUUCUAGCUUUCGAGUACACCACUUCCCCUGCCGUAAAACCCUUAAUUUUUAAUGGUGGACCUCGGAUCAGGUAGGAAUACCCGCUGAACUUAAGCAUAUCAAUAAGCGGAGGA